CACGGGGGGAGCAAGCGUUGUUCGGAAUCACUGGGCGUAAAGGGCGUGUAGGCGGUCAAGUAAGUGGAAUGUGAAAGCCCCCGGCUUACCCGGGGAUCUGCAUCCCAAACUGCUUGGCUUGAGUACGGGAGAGGAUAGGGGAAUCCCUGGUGUAGCGGUGAAAUGCGUAGAUAUCAGGAGGAACACCGGUGGCGAAGGCGCCUAUCUGGCCCGAUACUGACGCUGAGGCGCGAAAGCUAGGGGAGCAAACGGG
This 253-nucleotide ribosomal RNA is filed under the name uncultured bacterium. RNAcentral describes it as "partial 16S ribosomal RNA". It matches the Rfam family "Bacterial small subunit ribosomal RNA", at positions 524 to 776 of the family's 1533-position model. The record is from RNAcentral.